Molecule: ribosomal RNA, 253 nt
Filed under: uncultured bacterium
Lineage: Bacteria
Description: partial 16S ribosomal RNA
Rfam family: Bacterial small subunit ribosomal RNA
Source: RNAcentral
UACAGAGGUGGCAAGCGUUGCUCGGAAUCACUGGGCGUAAAGCGCACGUAGGCGGAUUGUUAAGUCAGGGGUGAAAUCCUGGAGCUCAACUCCAGAACUGCCUUUGAUACUGGCGAUCUUGAGUCCGGGAGAGGUGAGUGGAACUGCGAGUGUAGAGGUGAAAUUCGUAGAUAUUCGCAAGAACACCAGUGGCGAAGGCGGCUCACUGGCCCGGUACUGACGCUGAGACGCGAAAGCGUGGGGAGCGAACAGG